RNAcentral lists this ribosomal RNA (1558 nucleotides) under Enterococcus faecium. Its description in RNAcentral is "partial 23S ribosomal RNA". It matches the Rfam family "Bacterial large subunit ribosomal RNA", at positions 1 to 1559 of the family's 2925-position model. RNAcentral also lists the same sequence under 1 other name. The record is from RNAcentral. Lineage: Bacteria; Bacillati; Bacillota; Bacilli; Lactobacillales; Enterococcaceae.
GGUUAAGUGAAUAAGGGCGCACGGUGGAUGCCUUGGCACUAGGAGCCGAUGAAGGACGGGACUAACACCGAUAUGCUUUGGGGAGCUGUACGUAAGCUAUGAUCCAGAGAUUUCCGAAUGGGGGAACCCAGCAUCUUUAAUAGGAUGUUACGAUUGUGUGAAUACAUAGCACAUUCGAGGUAGACGCAGAGAACUGAAACAUCUAAGUACCUGCAGGAAGAGAAAGAAAAUUCGAUUCCCUGAGUAGCGGCGAGCGAAACGGGAAAAGCCCAAACCAACAAGCUUGCUUGUUGGGGUUGUAGGACUCCAAUAUGGUCGUUCUUUCAGAUAGUCGAAUGACUUGGAAAAGUCAGUCAAAGAGGGUAAAAACCCCGUAGACGAAAUGUGGAAGACACCUAGGAGGAUCCUGAGUACGGCGGAACACGAGAAAUUCCGUCGGAAUCCGGGAGGACCAUCUCCCAAGGCUAAAUACUCCCUAGUGACCGAUAGUGAACCAGUACCGUGAGGGAAAGGUGAAAAGCACCCCGGAAGGGGAGUGAAAUAGAACCUGAAACCGUGUGCCUACAACAAGUCAAAGCCCGUUAAUGGGUGAUGGCGUGCCUUUUGUAGAAUGAACCGGCGAGUUACGAUUGCAUGCGAGGUUAAGUUGAAGAGACGGAGCCGCAGCGAAAGCGAGUCUGAAUAGGGCGUUUGAGUAUGUAGUCGUAGACCCGAAACCAUGUGAUCUACCCAUGUCCAGGUUGAAGGUGCGGUAAAACGCACUGGAGGACCGAACCCACGUACGUUGAAAAGUGCGGGGAUGAGGUGUGGGUAGCGGAGAAAUUCCAAACGAACUUGGAGAUAGCUGGUUCUCUCCGAAAUAGCUUUAGGGCUAGCCUCGGAAUUGAGAAUGAUGGAGGUAGAGCACUGUUUGGACUAGGGGCCCAUCUCGGGUUACCGAAUUCAGAUAAACUCCGAAUGCCAUUCAUUCAUAUCCGGGAGUCAGACUGUGAGUGAUAAGAUCCAUAGUCGAAAGGGAAACAGCCCAGACCACCAGCUAAGGUCCCAAAAUAUAUGUUAAGUGGAAAAGGAUGUGGGGUUGCACAGACAACUAGGAUGUUGGCUUAGAAGCAGCCACCAUUUAAAGAGUGCGUAAUAGCUCACUAGUCGAGUGACCCUGCGCCGAAAAUGUACCGGGGCUAAACAUAUUACCGAAGCUGUGGAGUACACCUUUAGGUGUAUUGGUAGGAGAGCGUUCUAAGGGCGUCGAAGGCAGAUCGUGAGGACUGCUGGAGCGCUUAGAAGUGAGAAUGCCGGUAUGAGUAGCGAAAGACAGGUGAGAAUCCUGUCCACCGAAUGACUAAGGUUUCCUGGGGAAGGCUCGUCCGCCCAGGGUUAGUCGGGACCUAAGCCGAGGCCGAUAGGCGUAGGCGAUGGAUAACAGGUUGAUAUUCCUGUACCCGUUGUUUUUGUUUGAGCAAUGGAGGGACGCAGGAGGCUAAGGAAUGCAGACGAUCGGAAAUGUCUGUCCAAGCAGUAAGUCUGAAGAGGAGUCAAAUGCUUCUUUUCUUAAGGACAA